GACGAACGCUGGCGGUAUGCUUAACACAUGCAAGUCGAACGAGACAAAAGAGAAGUGCUUGCACGGAUCUUUUAGAAAGUGGCGAACGGGUGAGUAACGCGUGGGUAACCUACCCUAUGGAAAGGAAUAGCCUCGGGAAACUGGGAGUAAUGCCUUAUAAGAUAUAUUUGUCGCAUGGCUUUUCUAUCAAACGCUCCGGUGCCAUAGGAUGGACCCGCGUCCCAUUAGCUAGUUGGUGAGGUAACGGCUCACCAAGGCAACGAUGGGUAACCGGUCUGAGAGGGCGAACGGUCACACUGGAACUGAGACACGGUCCAGACUCCUACGGGAGGCAGCAGUGGGGAAUAUUGCGCAAUGGGGGAAACCCUGACGCAGCAAUACCGCGUGAAUGAAGAAGGUCUUCGGAUCGUAAAGUUCUGUUAUUGGGGAAGAACAAAGACGGUACCCAAGGAGAAAGUCCCGGCUAACUACGUGCCAGCAGCCGCGGUAAUACGUAGGGGACAAGCGUUGUCCGGAUUUACUGGGCGUAAAGGGCACGCAGGCGGUUUUUUAAGUCAGAUGUGAAAGGUACCGGCUCAACCGGUGACAUGCAUUUGAAACUGAAAGACUUGAGUAUUGGAGAGGCAAGUGGAAUUCCUAGUGUAGCGGUGAAAUGCGUAGAUAUUAGGAGGAACACCGGUGGCGAAGGCGGCUUGCUGGACAAAUACUGACGCUGAGGUGCGAAAGCGUGGGGAGCAAACA
This 741-nucleotide ribosomal RNA is filed under the name Acetobacterium sp. enrichment culture clone SB2-26. Its description in RNAcentral is "bacterial SSU rRNA". It matches the Rfam family "Bacterial small subunit ribosomal RNA", at positions 28 to 774 of the family's 1533-position model. Lineage: Bacteria; Bacillati; Bacillota; Clostridia; Eubacteriales; Eubacteriaceae. The record is from RNAcentral.